This 260-nucleotide unclassified non-coding RNA is filed under the name rhizosphere metagenome. Its description in RNAcentral is "partial ribosomal RNA internal transcribed spacer region". The record is from RNAcentral.
GUAGGUGAACCUGCGGAAGGAUCAUUACUGAGUUGUCGACACGAGUUGUUGCUGGUCUUCAGAUUUGGGGGCAUGUGCACGCUCUGUUCACACAUCCACUCACACCUGUGCACCCUCUGUAGUUCUAUGGUCUGGGGGACACGCCGUCUUCCUCCUGUGGUUCUACGUCUUUACACAUACACCGUAGCAAAGUCUUAUGGAAUGUGCGCCGCGUUUAACGCAAUACAAUACAACUUUCAGCAACGGAUCUCUUGGCUCUC